UUCAGUAAGAAUUUAAUUUUGGUUCCGAUUGAACGUUUUUCAGUAGUUUAAGACAUGCAAAUCGUUGUUCUCAACAUCCUUUAUUAAUUAAUAUUUUAAUAUUAAUGGGAUUAGGGGAUAAGGUGUAGAGGUGAGUAUGUUAAAUAAGAUACCAUAUAGUCUUCUUAACUAGGAGAUAUAAAGUAAAGGAAAAUUUCUGCUAUAGGAUUCUAUUUAAUUUGAUUAGGUAGUUGAUAGGGUAACGGCCUACCAAGCCAACGAUCAAAAGUCAAGUUUGAAAGAACCUCUGGCCACAUUGGGGAUGAAAUCUCCCAAGUAGUAAGAACACUACCAGCAGUCGAGAAUAUUAGUCAAUGCUCGUAAGAGUGAACUAGCUAACUGAAAUCAUAGUAUUUUUUCAAAUUCAUGAUGUCGUAAGGGAAAAUAAUGAUAAUACCUUACUAUGAGUGUCGUCCAAAUCUGGUGCCAGAAGACUCGGUAAGACCAGAGACGCAAACGUUAAUCAUCAUAAACAGGCGUAAAGGGUUUGUAGGCAGCUUUUAUAAGAUUAUUUUUUUUUUUAAAAAUAAAGGGUAAUCUAAAUUGAAAGCUAGAAUCAAAAAGAGGUUAUAGUGUAUAACGCCUAGAGGAGGGCUGAUAUCCAUAGAUCCUAGGCAGAAUACUCAGGGCGAAGGCCACUCUCCACUAAUGAUUGACGCUGAGAAACGAAGGUUAGGGUAGGAAAUAGGAUUAGAUACCCCGGUACUCCUUUCUGUAAACGAUGAAUGGUAGUCAUUAGUUAAAUUAAAAUAACUAGAGGCGAAGUUAACACAAUAAUCAUUCCGCCUUGUGAGUACUACUGCAAAGUAGAAAACAAAAAAAUUAGUCGGUCUCGAAGCAAACGGAGUGAAGCAUGUUAUUUAAUACGAUAAUCCGCGUAAAACCUUACCAGAACUUGCAUACAAACUAUAAAUUUUCUUUACUGAAAAGGAAAAGAAAAAAUUAGGAGUAUUUUAUAAUUUAAAGUACUUAAGUACAGGUGUUGCAUGGCUGUCUUCAGUUCGUGUUGUUAAACAUUAGGUUAAUUCCACUAACGAACGAAAUCCCUGUUAUUAAUUUAUACUUAAUAACUAAUGAAUCUGAUAGAGAUUCAGCGGGGGCUAAGACAAGUCGUUAUGGCCCUCAUGUUCUGGGCUAUAGACGUGCCACAAAAACUUUUACAAAGUGAUGCAAUACUUCCCAAGAGAAGUGGAGCUAAACAUUAAAAAAAGUGAUUUAUAUUAAAUAUAAGCCGGAUUGUCUCCUGUAAUUCGGAGGCAUGAAGAAGGAAUUCCGAGUAAUCGUUGAUAAGUAGCGCAACGGUGAAGCUAGUUUCGUGAUGAACUAACUGUCUGUCGCUGGGAAGAAGCUUUUAGUGGAGGAAACUGGAGUAAGCUAAUGUUUUUUAAUAGUAGCUCAUUGCUUUAAGUAAAGUAUUUUGAGUAUUAGGAUAAACUUAUUGGAUUUAGUGAAUUCAUUGGGGUAACAUCUCAAAAGUCAUAGCAUGGUAGCUGUACUGGAAAGUGCAGCUGGAUAAUAAUUAAU
Molecule: ribosomal RNA, 1563 nt
Filed under: Ganoderma leucocontextum
Lineage: Eukaryota; Fungi; Basidiomycota; Agaricomycetes; Polyporales; Polyporaceae
Description: SSU rRNA
Rfam family: Bacterial small subunit ribosomal RNA
Source: RNAcentral